CCUACGGGUGGCAGCAGUAGGGAAUCUUUCACAAUGCGCGAAAGCCUGAUGGAGCAACGCCGCGUGCAGGAUGAAGGCCUUCGGGUUGUAAACUGCUUUUAUAAGCGAGAAAUAUGAUGGUAACUUAUGAAUAAGGAUCGGCUAACUACGUGCCAGCAGCCGCGGUCAUACGUAGGAUCCGAGCAUUAUCCGGAGUGACUGGGUGUAAAGAGUUGCGUAGGUGGCAGAAUAAGUAGCUAGUGAAAUCUGGUGGCUCAACCAUUCAGAAUAUUAGCGAAACUGUUAAGCUCGAGACCGUGAGGGGUAACUAGAAUUUCUAGUGUAGGAGUGAAAUCCGUAGAUAUUAGAAGGAACACCAAUAGCGUAGGCAGGUUGCUGGGACGGUUCUGACACUAAGGCACGAAAGCGUAGGGAGCAAACGGGAUUAGAUACCCUUGUAGUC
RNAcentral lists this ribosomal RNA (442 nucleotides) under uncultured bacterium. RNAcentral's name for it is "partial 16S ribosomal RNA". It matches the Rfam family "Bacterial small subunit ribosomal RNA", at positions 338 to 795 of the family's 1533-position model. The record is from RNAcentral.